AUUGAACGCUGGCGGCAGGCCUAACACAUGCAAGUCGAGCGGAUGAAGGGAGCUUGCUCCUGUAUUCAGCGGCGGACGGGUGAGUAAUGCCUAGGAAUCUGCCUGGUAGUGGGGGAUAACGUCCGGAAACGGGCGCUAAUACCGCAUACGUCCUGAGGGAGAAAGUGGGGGAUCUUCGGACCUCACGCUAUCAGAUGAGCCUAGGUCGGAUUAGCUAGUUGGUGGGGUAAAGGCCUACCAAGGCGACGAUCCGUAACUGGUCUGAGAGGAUGAUCAGUCACACUGGAACUGAGACACGGUCCAGACUCCUACGGGAGGCAGCAGUGGGGAAUAUUGGACAAUGGGCGAAAGCCUGAUCCAGCCAUGCCGCGUGUGUGAAGAAGGUCUUCGGAUUGUAAAGCACUUUAAGUUGGGAGGAAGGGCAGUAAGUUAAUACCUUGCUGUUUUGACGUUACCAACAGAAUAAGCACCGGCUAACUUCGUG
RNAcentral lists this ribosomal RNA (484 nucleotides) under uncultured bacterium. RNAcentral describes it as "partial 16S ribosomal RNA". It matches the Rfam family "Bacterial small subunit ribosomal RNA", at positions 30 to 507 of the family's 1533-position model. The record is from RNAcentral.